GCGCCGGUAGCUCAGUUGGAUAGAGUACUUGACUACGAAUCAAGGGGUCGGGGGUUCGAAUCCUCCCCGGCGCACCA
RNAcentral lists this transfer RNA (77 nucleotides) under Hyphomicrobiales bacterium. RNAcentral's name for it is "tRNA-Arg". It matches the Rfam family "tRNA". From Rfam's summary of the family: Transfer RNA (tRNA) molecules are approximately 80 nucleotides in length. Their secondary structure includes four short double-helical elements and three loops (D, anti-codon, and T loops). The record is from RNAcentral. RNAcentral also lists the same sequence under 2 other names. Lineage: Bacteria; Pseudomonadati; Pseudomonadota; Alphaproteobacteria; Hyphomicrobiales.